This 203-nucleotide long non-coding RNA is filed under the name Elaeis guineensis (African oil palm). RNAcentral describes it as "long non-coding RNA (EGUI_LNC001036)". Lineage: Eukaryota; Viridiplantae; Streptophyta; Magnoliopsida; Arecales; Arecaceae. The record is from RNAcentral.
GCUUUCAGUAUUUAAAUGUGAUUCUUGUUCCAAUGUUAGCGUCGAUGCCUGAGAGGGCAUUAUCCGGUCUCUACCGUAUCGAUGUCCCUUUUUCAAGAAUAUAACGUUAAUUAGUGCUUAAUACCGCACUCACCACGGCCAUCGUCGGUGGCCCCGUUUCUUCAUGCAUUGCUGUGAUUCACGAGGCAGCUCCGAAAGAUUGC